UGAUCACCUACGGGAGGCAGCAGUGGGGAAUAUUGCACAAUGGGCGCAAGCCUGAUGCAGCCAUGCCGCGUGUGUGAAGAAGGCCUUCGGGUUGUAAAGCACUUUCAGUAAAGGAGGAAAGGUUAAGUGUUAAUAGCACUUAGCUGUGACGUUACUUACAGAAGAAGCACCGGCUAACUCCGUGCCAGCAGCCGCGGUAAUACGGAGGGUGCGAGCGUUAAUCGGAAUUACUGGGCGUAAAAGCGUACGCAGGCGGUUUGUUAAGCGAGAUGUGAAAGCCCCGGGCUCAACCUGGGAACUGCAUUUCGAACUGGCAAACUAGAGUGUGAUAGAGGGUGGUAGAAUUUCAGGUGUAGCGGUGAAAUGCGUAGAUUGAUCA
This 379-nucleotide ribosomal RNA is filed under the name uncultured bacterium. RNAcentral's name for it is "bacterial SSU rRNA". It matches the Rfam family "Bacterial small subunit ribosomal RNA", at positions 332 to 699 of the family's 1533-position model. The record is from RNAcentral.